RNAcentral lists this ribosomal RNA (253 nucleotides) under uncultured bacterium. RNAcentral's name for it is "partial 16S ribosomal RNA". It matches the Rfam family "Bacterial small subunit ribosomal RNA", at positions 524 to 776 of the family's 1533-position model. The record is from RNAcentral.
UACGUAGGGGGCAAGCGUUGUCCGGAUUUAUUGGGCGUAAAGAGCGUGUAGGCGGCUUUACAGGUCCGUUGUGAAAACUCGAGGCUCAACCUCGAGACGCCGGUGGAAACCGUAAGGCUAGAGUCCGGAAGAGGAGAGUGGAAUUCCUGGUGUAGCGGUGAAAUGCGUAGAGAUCAGGAAGAACACCGGUGGCGAAAGCGCUCUGCUGGACCUUAACUGACACUGAGGGACGAAAGCUAGGGGAGCGAAUUGG